GACACACACGCUGCCCUUCAAUGCGAGAAGAACAAAAGCAGCCCCGCGUUCUUGCUUCCCCGUGGUGAACGCUAUGUGCACACAAGCCCAGCUCUUUUGCUACUCUCUCUUUUUUGGGAUGAAGCCAUAUGAAGUUGGAAAUGAGGCUUCUAUCUUAGAGUCCCCAUUAAAUGCUUUCAAGCUAAUACCUGCUGGUGGCGGCAAUUCGCGUCCUAGAUGGAGUCCUAAUGAGCACUCGCGGUGGUGCCCGAUCUGAUUGAAGCCCAUUACGCCUCCAUGAAGGGAGUGCUGCCUCAUCCCUGCAGCAGGCAGAUGUCAGAAGCACAUUCGCUUUGGAAGAUGACACUAAUUUGCUCAAAGAGGGAAGCGGGCUCCCCAGACUUUCAGCGUAUUAGUCCGUGAAAGCAAGGCCAGGAUUCGGCAUGGUCUCAAAAGCAAGAGUUUUUACCAGAGGAAAAAAAAAACAAAAAAAAAAAUACAAGGGCUGACUAGCAUACGGCAUUCACACCAAACGGCCUCCAAAGGACCUAGUUGCCCUGUUCUUGACAUCAGGACCAGGUCUGGACCAGGAGAGAGGACUGCUGUGACAGCAGAUGGUGACAAGGCUGUUUGAAAAUGCCUGGUGGCUCCUGAGACUCCAGUGCUUGUGAUUUGCCCUCUUAUUCCUUCAUACGGGCAAGCUCGUGCUUCCUUCAGUGUUGAUGUUCCUUGAACAAUUGGUCCCAGGGCUUUGGGCCUGUGGUGAAGCAUGUCUUGGUGAAAGCCUAUGGCGGAGCAAAAUCUCCUACUUCACUCAAGGAAAAGAUAGGAAGGAAGAGACUGGAGGUGCCAUUAUCUCUUUCCAGGAAGACCUGAAGACCCCUCAAUAAACUCCACCUCCCAAUUGCACCAAGCAGGGGAACAAGCCUUUCCAAGUGAAUCUUGAGGGAUGUGAUGAUCCCUGUUACAUCAACUUGACACGAUCUGGGAUCAUCCAGGAGACAACUACUGUGAGGGGUGUUCUGGGCUCUGGGCAUGCCUUUGAGGGAUUGUCUUUCCCAGGUUAACUGAUGGAAGAAAACCUAACCCUGGGCAGGACCAUUCGCUACGCACGGGCCCUGGACUGUACACAUUGGAGAAAAUGAACCGAGCACCGGUAGUCAUCACUCUGUUUCCUGACUCUGGGUGUGACGAGACAAGCUGCCUCAAGCGCCUGCUGCCAUUACUUCUGAGUCGUGAUGACUGCACCCCCAAACUGAGAGCCAAAAGAAACCCUUCAGUUGCAGUCAUCAGGGUAUUUUAUCCUGGUUACGGGAGAAGAAACCAAGAUGGUGACAUCCAUACCGUCUAUAGUAAACACUUAUGGAGCCUGGGAAGAAAUGACUAAAGACGUAAGAGAGAACUCAGAAGGAAGCAGUUCCCCUGAGAGCGAGUCAGGAGACUUUCUGGAAGGAGGGGACUCACAUUGUAUAAUGCCUCAGGAAGAGCCGGGGAAAGAUGUGCUUGUAGACCUUGGGAAAAAGAAGGAAACCAGAAAUAUGGCCCAUGAAGAACAAGUCAGGAGCUGAGAAUGGGCACUGCUGGUUCAUACCAAGAAACCGGAGGAAACAGGCAAAGGUGGACCGGUGGUAUUGCCUCAGUUUCCCAAAUGUAACCCCUGAGCCCCUGGUGAUCUGCUUUUGUGACCUGUGGAGUUUUCUGCCUAUUGUUCUACGGCCUUGUAGUCGAUACUGUGUGGCUGGUUAUUUAUUUUUAAUUUCUGUUACCUCUGUUUGUCUGUCUGUCUAGUGUGUUUGUACCUGUGUGGGCACACCACACUACUACACCCCUGUGGGGCAGAGCCCAGCCUGUGAGAGUGAGUGCUCCCCUUCCACCACGUGCGUCCUGGGGUAGAUUGUUGCACUUGGUACCUGCACCGGCCCCACUGUGUGGUUAAAAAAAAAAACAAUUUGAAAAUAAGGUAAAGUUGCUCAUUUUCCUAGUAAGUUGUGGGAUAGUCAGUCUUGAGUUCUCAGCUGGGGUUUUGUUCCCCCCAAGAGGAUUUCCUGGUCUUUCUGCAGAUCAUCUCAAGGCAGUGGUGCCAUGUCAACUCAGACAGCAGAGUCCCUGGAGGCCUGCCUUGUGGUUGAGUUCUCAGGGAAGAUUCCUUCACACCCACAAUCAAAUCCAAAUGCAGGUGAUUCCCAUUGGAAUCAUGUGAAUUAAAAAGACUCCUUUAAAGUUGACAGAACACAGGCCAGCGAGACGCCUCUCAAAGGAAGUCUCCAUGAAAACGAAAAGGACAUUUUUCAGAAACUGGUAAGCUGGAGUCUCCGACCUGCGCAAAGACGCCCGACCUGUGCUCCAGGGAAUGCAUCACCCAGGAGGCACCUGGAGAUGUCCCGUCUCACCGUGAUGCCCAGCUCUUGUGCAACUUUUCUCUGCAGAGCCUUUGCAAUGCCCUACUUUCUUUGAAGCAUUGUGGAUUUCUUAAGAUAUUGCAAUCUACAUUAAAAUGUUCUUCUUGUGAGAAUUACAUGUCGAAUUAGCACAUCUGGGGCAAAGCUUGCCAAAUCGGGAAGGAAAUUGCCAUGCUAUCCCAACAGAUAGCUCUUCUGGGGAGCCGUGGUUCUGGCUCAUCUGGGGCACCUCCUUCCUCUGGGCCCGUUUGUAGACAAUUGGGUUUCCCUGGCAUGUUGUCCUGCAUACCCGGAAUCUCAAGUACAGCCAGCAGAGACACCUUCAUUCUCCCCAAAAAAGGGAACACUUUCUGGCCAGUCUUCAUCCUUGGAUGAAUGGGCAUAUCUGUAGUUUUGAUGACUUGGGAUUCCUAGUCGCUUUCUCCUGCUUUCUUACCGUGUUUGGUGGCUUGAAUAGUUCAUGUGACUGCUCUCUCUUCAAAAGCUACAGAUGAGUCAGAGAACAAAGCCUGAGGGAGAGCUUUUAUGAUGUGUAACCUCAUUCAAGGUGCCAUCUAGAAGCUUCUUUCUCUACUUAUCCUCCCCCAAACUUCCAGGUGGCCUGUCCCCUUGACAAAUUGCUGCCAGAAAGAGAUCACUUCCUCAGUAAGACCCCUGGAACCUCUAGCUUGAACCUGAUGACCCUCUAGACGUUUCUUUAGGAUCAGCAGUAGACAUUUGAUGUCUUGUGAUGCUGGGGAUGGGAGUCAGAGAGACAUGCAUGCUAGGCCAGUAAGUCUUCCACCACAGAGCUGUACUUCAAGUUCCUGAUGAAUUAGUUUUUGUCUAGAAUGCCUUUUAAAUUCUUUGGGAAUGUCACUCAGCUUUGUGACCUUCCUUGGAGGUGGGGGGAUCCUUCCCUCUUGGAAGCUGUUUUAUUGAGAAACUGUGAGGCUAAAAUUGUUGUCUGGACACAGUGACGUGGGCAGGCAAACCAAGCUCUGUCCUUCAGAUCUGUCCCGGGAGAACUUGACUCUUGAGAGGAGUGGUGGAGGACUGGAGAGCAUCAGAGCCUUUCAUUCUGUAGUAGGCCCUUCCUGGCUGUCCCGGUCUAUAGCAUGGCCUUUGCCACUGCCUUUCUCAAGGGGAGGCACACUGAUGUAAACUGUCUUCUUCCAAUAUACUAGCUUUAUACUGAAUUGAACCAGACUCCGUUACUGUUGCUAUAACAAAAGAACCCUCAAAUAAGCCACCCACCUCCAAUUCUCUUGUCUCAGUCCUUUUCUAGGCUUUAUCUCCACUAAGGCUCGUUAACAACAUUGACGCCCAACAAAAUACCGUGAACCGGAAAGCUUGUAAACAGUGACAGGCAUUUCUCAUAUUUCUAGAGGCUUCUAGAGGAAGACCAAGAUUCAACACCAGUGGGUUUGGGUUUGGUGUCUGGUGAGGCUCUUGUCUCAUAGUGGCACCUUCUAGCUGUAGCCUCACAUAAUGGAAGGAACGAGCCACCUCUCUGAGGUUCUUUAUCACAUUCACAAGGGAUCCUCUCAACACCCUGAGGACUCGUUUUCAGCAUACGAAUUUUGACUAAAACUCAAAAUCCAACCACAGACUGCAAGGCCCACACUGGUCUGGUCACCAGCAGCCGCUCCAUCCCACCUUCCCACCACCCUUCUCCAUGUCUCCCGACUUCGCGCCCUCUUCGCCUUCCUUGAGCGUCGCACGCUUACUGCUGGGUUUUCGCACAUGCUCCCUUGUGCCUGCAGGGUUCCUUGAGUGGGCCUCAAGCAUCGUUCCCAGCUUCUGGCCAGGUUCCAUGGGUCAGAAGCUUUCCUGGUUCCCACCUGAUACGUCUCUGUCAUAACACUUUGUAAUUAGAGUUAGCCUCCUGUGUGCGUUGUUUUCACACACAUGGAUCCAACCAACGAUGGAUCAAAAACCUUUGAACAACAAUCCGUGUCGGUACUGAGCACAGACAGACUUCCUUUCUGUGCGAUUAUCCCCCCGCCCUCAAUCUACACAGCAGUCACGGUGUAUUAGGUAACACAGCCAAUUUAAAGAUGAUUCGAAGUGUCUGGAGGAUGUGUAUAGUUACCGCGCCAUAUUACAGGUGAGACAAGUAUCUGCAGACUUGAUGUUUACAGGGAUCCUGGAGCUGGUGCCCCAUGGACACUGAAGGAUGACUGUGUAUAUCUGUGUGGAUUAUCUGAUCCUUGCUUGUCUGCCUUGCUGACUAAUAAGCUUCUCAGAAGUGGGAUCCAUGUGUUUCCUCUGUGACUGUAUUCUGACAUAGCACUUGAUGUGUACAAAACAUUUUCUGGAAUAAAUGGAUUUCAAAGAGUCAUAUCUCAUCUGAGAUAUGGCCCUGUGUUCCCAGUCUUCUUCUCUUAUG
Peromyscus maniculatus bairdii (prairie deer mouse) is the source of this 4749-nucleotide non-coding RNA. Lineage: Eukaryota; Metazoa; Chordata; Mammalia; Rodentia; Cricetidae. The record is from RefSeq and is a predicted model, not a curated record.